Molecule: long non-coding RNA, 189 nt
Organism: Sander lucioperca (pikeperch)
Lineage: Eukaryota; Metazoa; Chordata; Actinopteri; Perciformes; Percidae
Exons: 3
Source: RefSeq, a predicted model, not a curated record
UUGACGUUUACGAACCCUGUGUUGUCUCCCGAGACUGGGCUUUUUCACAGUGUAUUCAGGGGGCAGGCAGCUAGAGGAUCAAGGAGAGAUACCUAUGAUUUGAGACAGAAAUUAAAUUGCGCUGAAACUAUGCAGGAACUCAUAGUGCACCUUUAACUUCAUUUAAUAUUUUGUUUUAAGUACUGUACU